RNAcentral lists this ribosomal RNA (492 nucleotides) under uncultured bacterium. Its description in RNAcentral is "partial 16S ribosomal RNA". It matches the Rfam family "Bacterial small subunit ribosomal RNA", at positions 29 to 507 of the family's 1533-position model. The record is from RNAcentral.
AGUGAACGCUGGCGGUAGGCCUAACACAUGCAAGUCGAACAGCAGCACAGUAAGAGCUUGCUCUUACGGGUGGCGAGUGGCGGACGGGUGAGGAAUACAUCGGAAUCUACUUUUUCGUGGGGGAUAACGUAGGGAAACUUACGCUAAUACCGCAUACGACCUACGGGUGAAAGCAGGGGAUCUUCGGACCUUGCGCGAUUGAAUGAGCCGAUGCCGGAUUAGCUAGUUGGCGGGGUAAAGGCCCACCAAGGCGACGAUCCGUAGCCGGUCUGAGAGGAUGAUCAGCCACACUGGAACUGAGACACGGUCCAGACUCCUACGGGAGGCAGCAGUGGGGAAUAUUGGACAAUGGGCGCAAGCCUGAUCCAGCCACACCGCGUGGGUGAAGAAGGCCUUCGGGUUGUAAAGCCCUUUUAUUAGGAAAGAAAAGCAGCAGGUUAAUACCCCGCUGUUCUGACGGUACCCAAAGAAUAAGCACCGGCUAACUUCGUG